GCUUUCUGCCUUCUGAACAACUGGCUUACCAAGGAAUAAGAAGUCACACGUCAGAGUCUACUGCCUCAUGCGAUGGCAAGUGAGUGAGAGCAGCGAGCCUGUGAGCAUUGUUCAGGCCAGGCAAGAGCCGUACAUCUGCGAGCUGAGGAGAUGCUACUGUCAGUGAGAUAAGUGUCUGUUUUGCUGAGGGUUCUGCUCACGGCCGAUCUGACUCCAGGUAGAGACACCCUGUUAGCUGGGGCUGUUUUUGUAAGAAAAGGUUCCUGACUAGCUGUGGAUACGAGGUCCCCGUUUUCAGGGGCUGCUCAUUUUUCCAUCCACAAGCAGUGUGUCCUCCGCAAGAGAAGGUUGGAUCCAGGGGGAUGCCUCGAGCUGGCGAGUUCCUUCCCCAUCUCCUUCGUUUCUCUCCCUCCCUCCCUCUCUCUUUCCUGUACUGUGUUGGCCAGCACACACUCUUUCCCUGUCUGUGUCCUUGCCUCUCCCUGUGCUUUCUCCCUUUAUGGGACACGGGUAGGUGUGGAUCCCCAUAGGCUAGGUCUCGGGAGCCAGGAAGAAGUAGGAGGGGAUGAAAAUUAUGUGGGGUCGUGGGUGCGAGAGUGGAGGCAGGUAUUGUAAAAUAUCUAGCACGGUAGCAUGUUGGACAGUGAUGGCUCUUCCAUAGGUGGUUUGCUGUUCUUGCAGAGGCCGGCUCAAGGCCAAUGGAGCCGCCCCAGACAGAGGAGAAGCAUCUGGAGGAACCAGACCUGCACAAUCUAGAUGUUUUUCACUUGGCAGUGGAGCUAAGGAGUGCUCUCGUGAUAUUUGAGGAGCAGGUACGGAUGCCCAGUUAGCUACGGCUCAGUGUGUAACAAAAUGAGCUGUGGAUAUGUGGGAGACAAGGUCCCCAUUUUCAGCAUCAGCUCAUUUCUCCAUUCACAAGCGGUGUGUCCUCUGCAGAAAAGCUUGGAUCCAGGAGCAUGAUUCCAGCUGCGCUGGUACAGGAAUUGUCCAGGAACCCUACCCGGAGGAGAGACUCUCAGAAGUGAACCUGAUGAGCCUGAACAUUCUUCUAAGCAGACAUGAAGAGUCCUCAGCUUUCUGCCUCCUGCAUAAAUGGCUAAAAAGAAGUCAUUUGCCAGUCUACUGCCCUCAUGUGAUGGAAAGCGAGCGAGAGCGAUGAGACCCGUGAGCAUGGUUGAUGCCACGCAAAAGCCGUCCAUCUGGCAGCAGAAGAGCCAUCGCUGUCAGUGAGAUAAGUGUCUGUUUUGGUGAGGGCUCUGCUCAUGGCCCACGUUGAUGCUGGUAGGGAUGCCCCGUUAGCUAGGGCUGGGUUUGUAAGAAAAGGUUCCUGACUAGCUGUGGUUGUAAGAGAGACAAGGUUCCCAAUUUCAGGGGCUGAUGAUUCCUCUGGUCAGGAGCAGUGUGACCUACGCAGCAGAAAGUAGCAUCUAGAGGAUGACUCCAGGUGUCGUUACUUGCCUUCCUCCCGUGUUUCUCUGUCUUCUCUAUUGUGUUGGCCAACACUCUGGCUCUUUCAUUCUCCCUUCCUUGCCUUUUCUGGUGCCGUCUCCCUACGUAGGACGCGGGAAAAGGGUGCUAGGUGUGCAUCCACACAGUCUACGUCUUUGGGACCCAUGAAAAAUUAGGAGGGUAUGAAAAUCAUGCAUAUUAGUGGGUGCCACAGUGGAGCAGUGCCUGUGGGUGUUGACUUGGUCUUUAAUCAUCGCCUGGGGCUGAUGUAGACCAAAUGAGAGAGGGAGGCAGAGAUUAGGGCAAGAUUUCACAUACCUUCAGAGCUUUGUGUAAUGCUGACUCAUCCUUGGCUUUUGCAACUGCACUGCAGAGGAAUUGUCCAGGAGUGCUGUCUGGAGGAGAGACUCUCAAAAGUGGACCUGAACAUCCUUCUAAGCAGACAUGAACAGUCCUCAGCUUCCUGCCUCCUGCAUAACUGGCUUACCAAGGGAAAAGAAGUCACGUAUCAAUCUACUGUCAUCAUGCGAAGGAAAGCGAGACGGACGAGACCGCGAUCAUUGUCGAAAUCAGGCAUUAGCUGUACAUCUGGGAGCGGAGCAGUCACCGCUGUCAGUGAGAUAAAUGUCUGGUUUGGUGAGGGAUCUGCUCAUGGCCCACCUUGCUCCAGUUUGCAGAGGAAUCAUCCAGGAGCCCUCGCUGGACGAGAAUAUGCAGAAGUGGACCUCAGCAGCCUGGACAUCCUUUUAAGGAGACAUGAAUAUUCCUCAUCUUUCUGCCUUUUGCAUAACUGCCUAUGAUACCAAGGAAAAAGAAGUCACGGUCAGAGUCUACUGUCCUCAUGCGAUGGAAAGCGAGCGAGAGCGACGAGACCACGAGCAUUGUCAAAAUCAAGCAUUAGACAUGCAUCUGGGAGCAGAGCAGCUACUGCUGUCAGUGAGAUAAGUGUCUGUUCUGGUGAGAGCUCUGCUCACGGCCCAUCUGGCUCCAGGUAGGGACGUCUUGUUAGUUGGGCCUGGGUUUGUAACAAAAUGUUCAUGACUAGCUGUGGUUAUGAGGGAGACUGGGUCCCCAUUUUCAGGGUCUGCUCAUUUCUCUGCUGACAAGCGAUGUGUCCUCUGCAGAAAAGGUAGGUUCCAGGUGGCGAGUUGCUUGCCUUCCUCCCGUGUUUCUGUUUCUCUCUCUCUUCUCUAGUGUUGGCCAACGUGCUCUCAGUCUGUCCUUGCCUCUUUUUCUGCUGUUUCACUUCAUUGCACACAGGCAGGUGAGUUAGCUGUGUAUCCCCAGAGGCCAGGUCUCGGGAAGCAUGGCGAAGUAGGAGAGGAUGAAAAUCAUGCGGGGAAGUGGGUGUGAGAGUGGAGGCAGGUACUGGAAGGUCUUGUGCACCUGUAGUGUUUUUGGCAGUGAUGGCUCUUCCAUAGGUGGUUUGCUGUUCUUGCAGAGGGCAGCGGAGCAUCUGCAGGAAGCGGACCUGCACAAUCUAGCUGUUACGCUUUGCAGUGGAGCCGAGGAGCGCUCUUGUAAUGUUGGAGGAGCAGUCGUACUGAGAUUGGUCAGAUGAGAGAUCGGCCAACCUGUGGCAGAGACCAAGGAAGGAACAGCCACCCGGAGCCCAUCCCUAGGGAUGGAAGCCGGACAAUGAUCUGCAGAUACCACGGAGAAAGAAGUGAAGGGUUAGAGCCCACCCCCGUUGUGAGAUGGAAAGCACGAAGAGCCGGGAGACCACAAGCGUUGUCGAUGCCAGCCUAUGGCGAUGCCGUCGAUCUGGGAGUGGAGCAGCCGUCACCAUCAGUGAGAUAAGUGUCUGGUUUGGGGAGGACUCCGGUAACGGCCCAGCUGCCUCCAGGCUGAGACUUGUCAUUAGCUGGGGCUUGGUUUGUAGGAAAAGAUUCCUGACCUGCUGUAGUUACGAGGGAGACAAGGUCCCCAUUUUCAGGGGCUGGUCAUUUCUCUAUCCACAAACAGUGUGUCCUACGCAG
This is a long non-coding RNA of Mauremys mutica (yellowpond turtle), 3428 nucleotides long. RefSeq lists it as uncharacterized. The record is from RefSeq and is a predicted model, not a curated record. The transcript is spliced from 10 exons. NCBI's taxonomy places the organism in Eukaryota, Metazoa, Chordata, Testudines, Geoemydidae.